CUUUUUUUUGAUGACGUGGACCACAUGUACAAAAAACUAAUAAAAAAUAUGUACAUGUUAAAAAUAAAUUUUAAAUCAUAUUAAAAUCAUUAAAAAUGAAUAAAAAAAGAAAAGAAAAAUCUCAUCUCACUUUUCCAACCCAGCCAACCCUCUCUCCUUCCCGAUUCAACCCCACCUCUCAGCCACCACUCUCCCGUCGCCUUCUCCUCCCUCCCUUCACCAUGAAUACCCAAAAACCAAAAACAAAAAACUCAGAAAAAAAGCUGCACACAUCUACAUCAUCAAAAAACCCAAAAUUGCUUUUCCAUCAUAUCAAACAAUCCAUUUGGAGAAGAACAAAGAUCUGAAAAGUUGAAAGUGGCUUUUGGCAUCCCUAACACAAUCCAAGACAAUUAAGCAAGUAAAUGAUUAUGGUGGUUGAGAGAGAGUGUGAAGAAAUUCAUGAGGCCGCAGAGCCAUGACAUCAAGUUUUAGUGGACCACUUCUUCUCUGCUUCAGAAAAAAAAAAAAAAUGAAGAAGAGUUGUUUGUAGCUAGACUAGAGUGGUCCAAAAUCAGGAGCCAGAAAUCCCAUAUCCCAUUUUGCAGAAAUCUCUCGCGGUUUCUUCCACACCCAGCCACCCCUUCCCACACCGACAUAGAAAUAACCAAAUAUGAGAUGAAAUUCACGAAAAAACAAAAAAAUUUGAGAUAAACCAAAGCUUCAAAAUGGACAAAACCUCCCCGAUCGAUUUCUCAAAUUCAUAAUCCCAAGCUUCAGAAAGGAUAAACCAAAAAUCUGAGAUAAACCAAAGCUUGCAGAAAUCCCAUAUUCAUAACGCCGAUCGAUUUCUCAUCACACCCGGAUGCCGACGUCAUCGCAGACCUAACCCCCCGCGAACCUUCGAUCUGCAAAACCCAGGUGGUUAGGUUUGUCGAUCUCGAAAACUGCGCGACGUGCAGAUCCCCUUGAAUCGCCGAUCUCAUCAUCGGAACGAGGGCGUCUAGUUCUAUUGGCUCCAUGAUCUGUCGCAUAUCCCACAUAGAGACGGAGAGAGACGGACACAUUCAGAUUGAGAGAGAGAGAGAGAGGGAAGGGAGGUGACUAGGGAUUUGGUAUUCGAUGGGGCUAGGAGGAGAGGGCUCUGGUAUUGAAUUUUUCAUUUUUUUUGCCUUUUUGAAGUUUAAUAAUUUUAAAUUAUUAAAAU
RNAcentral lists this long non-coding RNA (1186 nucleotides) under Prunus dulcis (almond). RNAcentral's name for it is "sRNA ncRNA". Lineage: Eukaryota; Viridiplantae; Streptophyta; Magnoliopsida; Rosales; Rosaceae. The record is from RNAcentral.